CAGCAGCCGCGGGAAUACGAAGGGGGCUAGCGUUGCUCGGAAUUACUGGGCGUAAAGGGAGCGUAGGCGGAUGUUUAAGUCAGAGGUGAAAGCCCAGGGCUCAACCUUGGAACUGCCUUUGAUACUGGACAUCUUGAGUGUGGGAGAGGUAAGCGGAACUCCGAGUGUAGAGGUGAAAUUCGUAGAUAUUCGGAAGAACACCAGUGGCGAAGGCGGCUUACUGGCCCAUUACUGACGCUGAGGCUCGAAAGCGUGGGGAGCAAACAGGAUUAGAUACCCCCGUAGUCCCUGUCUCUUAUAC
This 301-nucleotide ribosomal RNA is filed under the name uncultured bacterium. RNAcentral's name for it is "partial 16S ribosomal RNA". It matches the Rfam family "Bacterial small subunit ribosomal RNA", at positions 509 to 807 of the family's 1533-position model. The record is from RNAcentral.